RNAcentral lists this ribosomal RNA (497 nucleotides) under uncultured bacterium. Its description in RNAcentral is "partial 16S ribosomal RNA". It matches the Rfam family "Bacterial small subunit ribosomal RNA", at positions 28 to 507 of the family's 1533-position model. The record is from RNAcentral.
GAUGAACGCUGGCGGCGUGCCUAAUACAUGCAAGUCGAGCGAACGGACGAGAAGCUUGCUUCUCUGAUGUUAGCGGCGGACGGGUGAGUAACACGUGGAUAACCUACCUAUAAGACUGGGAUAACUUCGGGAAACCGUAGCUAAUACCGGAUAAUAUUUUGAACCGCAUGGUUCAAAAGUGAAAGACGGUCUUGCUGUCACUUAUAGAUGGAUCCGCGCUGCAUUAGCUAGUUGGUCAGGUAACGGCUUACCAAGGCAACGAUGCAUAGCCGACCUGAGAGGGUGAUCGGCCACACUGGAACUGAGACACGGUCCAGACUCCUACGGGAGGCAGCAGUAGGGAAUCUUCCGCAAUGGGCGAAAGCCUGACGGAGCAACGCCGCGUGAGUGAUGAAGGUCUUCGGAUCGUAAAACUCUGUUAUUAGGGAAGAACAUAUGUGUAAGUAACUGUGCACAUCUUGACGGUACCUAAUCAGAAAGCCACGGCUAACUACGUG